This 528-nucleotide ribosomal RNA is filed under the name Platyphora opima. Its description in RNAcentral is "partial 12S ribosomal RNA". The record is from RNAcentral. Lineage: Eukaryota; Metazoa; Arthropoda; Insecta; Coleoptera; Chrysomelidae.
UGCGGUUACACAAAUAAUAUAAUUUAAUUUAUUUAGUAUUAAUUAAUCGAUAAUAAAAUAAUUUUAAAUUAAAAUUUAUAAGGUGAAAUUUAAAAUUUUUUUUAAAAAUUAAUUUUUAAUGAUGAAGUUAAAAAAUUUUUAAAUUAAACUAGGAUUAGAUACCCUAUUAUUAAAAAUGUAAAUAAAAAAACUAAAUUAGUAGUAGUUAAGUUCUUGAAAAUUAAAGAUUUUGGCGGUAUUCUAGUCUAUUCAGAGGAACCUGUUCUAUAAUUGAUAAUCCACGAUUUAAUUUACUUUUUUUUUUAGUUUGUAUAUCGUCGUAAUUUGAAUAUUUUAUAAGAAAAUAAUAUUCAAGAUAUUAAAUAUGAAAAUAAAUCAGAUCAAGGUGCAGUUUAUAAAAAAGAAGAAAUGGGUUACAAUAAAUAUAUUUAAGGAAUAUUAUUUUUAAAAUAAUGUGAAUUUGGAUUUGAUAGUAAAUUUAAUUAAUUAAUUAAAUUGAUUUAAGCUCUAGAGUAUGUACACAUCGCC